ACAGAUUUUCAUAUACUUACUUUUACUCGAAGUCACCGAUAUGGAAUCAGUUCGCCAAUUCUUCUAUCAAGUUUCAGCCUUUGCUAUAGUUGCCAUGAUCCAGGCGGCUUUUGCCCAGUACUGGGACGAUCAAAACGGGGAUUUCCUGUCAGAAAAUUAUAGGUACCUUGAAGGAUAUCGUUUUUAAGGGUUUGACGAUUGCUAUUGGACUGGUGACGAAUGGAAAUGUGGAAAUGGUUUCUAAUCAACAAGCAGUCUCAUGCUCCAUUAUCUAUUUAUCAAACAAUGCCAACAACAAAUGCUUUUGUUUUAUACAAAUUGUUCAAACCAAUAAAAAUCGAUCCUUCUAA
This is a long non-coding RNA of Saccostrea echinata, 350 nucleotides long. RefSeq lists it as uncharacterized. Lineage: Eukaryota; Metazoa; Mollusca; Bivalvia; Ostreida; Ostreidae. The transcript is spliced from 2 exons. The record is from RefSeq and is a predicted model, not a curated record.